GACACUUCAUUGUCUCCCGUUCAUUUGAAAAGUGAGACAUUUGCCGGUUAGACGAUGAUCUGGUGCUGUGGUUUUACUCAGUGAUUUUGUUUAUUUAGUGUUAAUGCAAGACGUCGAUUCGACAAACGUGCUUGCGCUGCUCGCCCGUCGAGGGUAUACGCAGUGUCACGGAUUGGAUUCCAUCGCUUCUGAGACAAUGUUUAUUGUCAAGACGGUAGGUCGGUAUACCAUCGUGUUACUGGAGGCUUAGCUGGCAUUUUUAAUUACUGGUUUUAUCUUCAUC
Long non-coding RNA from Macrobrachium nipponense, 283 nucleotides. RefSeq lists it as uncharacterized. The transcript has 3 exons. NCBI's taxonomy places the organism in Eukaryota, Metazoa, Arthropoda, Malacostraca, Decapoda, Palaemonidae. The record is from RefSeq and is a predicted model, not a curated record.